RNAcentral lists this ribosomal RNA (633 nucleotides) under Escherichia coli. RNAcentral describes it as "bacterial SSU rRNA". It matches the Rfam family "Bacterial small subunit ribosomal RNA", at positions 893 to 1526 of the family's 1533-position model. RNAcentral also lists the same sequence under 1 other name. The record is from RNAcentral. Lineage: Bacteria; Pseudomonadati; Pseudomonadota; Gammaproteobacteria; Enterobacterales; Enterobacteriaceae.
GUUAAAACUCAAAUGAAUUGACGGGGGCCCGCACAAGCGGUGGAGCAUGUGGUUUAAUUCGAUGCAACGCGAAGAACCUUACCUGGUCUUGACAUCCACGGAAGUUUUCAGAGAUGAGAAUGUGCCUUCGGGAACCGUGAGACAGGUGCUGCAUGGCUGUCGUCAGCUCGUGUUGUGAAAUGUUGGGUUAAGUCCCGCAACGAGCGCAACCCUUAUCCUUUGUUGCCAGCGGUCCGGCCGGGAACUCAAAGGAGACUGCCAGUGAUAAACUGGAGGAAGGUGGGGAUGACGUCAAGUCAUCAUGGCCCUUACGACCAGGGCUACACACGUGCUACAAUGGCGCAUACAAAGAGAAGCGACCUCGCGAGAGCAAGCGGACCUCAUAAAGUGCGUCGUAGUCCGGAUUGGAGUCUGCAACUCGACUCCAUGAAGUCGGAAUCGCUAGUAAUCGUGGAUCAGAAUGCCACGGUGAAUACGUUCCCGGGCCUUGUACACACCGCCCGUCACACCAUGGGAGUGGGUUGCAAAAGAAGUAGGUAGCUUAACCUUCGGGAGGGCGCUUACCACUUUGUGAUUCAUGACUGGGGUGAAGUCGUAACAAGGUAACCGUAGGGGAACCUGCGGUUGGAUCAC